UCCACCUUAGCUCAGCUGGUUGGAGCGCACGGCUGUUAACCGUGAGGUCACCAGUUCGAACCUGGUAGGUGGAG
RNAcentral lists this transfer RNA (74 nucleotides) under Scenedesmus sp. NREL 46B-D3. It matches the Rfam family "tRNA". Rfam says of the family: Transfer RNA (tRNA) molecules are approximately 80 nucleotides in length. The record is from Rfam by way of RNAcentral. Lineage: Eukaryota; Viridiplantae; Chlorophyta; Chlorophyceae; Sphaeropleales; Scenedesmaceae.